AAUAUAUAAUCUCAAUUGCCUCUUACGAAAUUUGCAAAGCCAAAGAAAGGAUAUAAUAUGAUACAUAAAACUAAAAGCAAUUUGAAAUCAGUCUUGCAAUAUAUUUUCUCUUCAAUGCAAUAUAGAUUUCAUGUGGUCCAUGAAACUUAAAAGAGAUCCAAUCGAGCAUACUACAACAAUGUUAUCAAUCAAGAACACAACAAAUUUCAGACCGGAGACACCUUAGAUCUCGAUGAACUUGGUAUCUGUGACAGAGUUGGCCUUGGCAAUCACAUCUCUUCCAGCAACAUUGUAAACAAAACAGUCACGGACGUUGGACAGUUGGAGUACCAGCAUCAGCCACUAAUUAUAUCUCAAUGGUGGCACAGGAUCCAGUAAGCCCACCAUUUUCCAGCAAGUGGAGCAGCUGUGCUGAAAUUAAAUGCAGGUUGAGAUUAUUUGGUUAGAAUUCCAAUGGGGCUUUGGCACAUACGAUUUCCUAGCAAUGACAACCAGAAUUUUCCAGUGUCCCAAGCAUCUGAAUCAUCUUUACCAUUUGCAGGGGAUGGAUGAGCCUGUACUGAUGGUAUAUACAGCAAUUGCAAGCAUAUGAUCAAGAACUAAGAGCUAGUUCACCAAAUGAAGUGAAAGUUAGAGUUUAUAUUUAUAUUCUUAUUUUGUUUGUUUGGGGACACCUAAAUGCAACAAGUUAUGGACAUCUUACUAACAAAAAUGAACAAUAAUUUCAUAUCAGCAAUUUCCCGAUACUUUUCAAAUUUGACUGAGAAGUAAUUCAAACCCUAAUAGAAUCCCUUUUUUUUCUACAGAAGCUAUUGUUGCUCUUUUUU
Molecule: long non-coding RNA, 827 nt
Filed under: Musa acuminata (dwarf banana)
Lineage: Eukaryota; Viridiplantae; Streptophyta; Magnoliopsida; Zingiberales; Musaceae
Description: long non-coding RNA (MACU_LNC006072)
Source: RNAcentral